RNAcentral lists this ribosomal RNA (776 nucleotides) under uncultured Neocallimastigales. Its description in RNAcentral is "partial large subunit ribosomal RNA". It matches the Rfam family "Eukaryotic large subunit ribosomal RNA", at positions 26 to 629 of the family's 3401-position model. The record is from RNAcentral. Lineage: Eukaryota; Fungi; Neocallimastigomycota; Neocallimastigomycetes; Neocallimastigales.
CGCAUCUGUGCAUGCAGCAUAUCAAUAAGCGGAGGAAAAGAAACUAACAAGGAUUCCCUUAGUAACGGCGAGUGAAGCGGGAAGAGCUCAAAUUUGAAAUCUUCAAGGUUUUACCUUGACUAAUUGUAGUUUAAAGAAGUGUUUUCUGUUGAAGUUUUGGUAAAAGUUCUUUGGAAUAGGACAUCAUAGAGGGUGAGAAUCCCGUAUUUGACCAUUUACUUUCAGCUGUGUGAUACACUUUCAAAGAGUCGGAUUGUUUGGGAAUGCAGUCCAAAAUGAGUGGUAAAUUUCAUCUAAAGCUAAAUAUUGGCGAGAGGACCGAUAGCGAACAAGUACCGUGAGGGAAAGAUGAAAAGAACUUUGAAAAGAGAGUUAAACAGUACGUGAAAUUGUCAAAAGGGAAGCGUUUGACACCAGUGUUGUUUUCUCGAAAAUCAAUUAAAAAGAGUUUGAUUUUGUUGUGUAUUGACCUUAACAGCUUGCAUUUCAAUUUUCUUGCUUUUUUUAAUGCACUUUUCGUUUAACAAGUCAACAUCAGUUUCUUUUGUUGUAAAAAGGUCAUUGGAAGGUGGCUUUCUUUUCGGAGAAAGUGUUUAUAGCCUUUGACUCCUGCAAUCGGAGAGACUGAGGUCUGCAGCGUAGAUCCUUCGGGGUUAGAUACAUUUGUGCUAAGUUAUAGCUUCUUAUAGACAACUUGUUGACUAUGAUUAGUCUUGUAGCUUACUCGCUUAUGCUAUUUUACCUACGCUUAGGAUGUUGAUGUGAUACUGCGAGCA